RNAcentral lists this ribosomal RNA (304 nucleotides) under uncultured archaeon. RNAcentral's name for it is "bacterial SSU rRNA". It matches the Rfam family "Archaeal small subunit ribosomal RNA", at positions 1050 to 1352 of the family's 1478-position model. The record is from RNAcentral.
ACCCCUGCGUCUAGUUGCUACCAUUACUCUCUGGAGCAGUGGAGCGAAUUAGACGGACCGCCACAGUUAAUGUGGAGGAAGGAAGGGGCCACGGCAGGUCAGUAUGCCCCGAAACCCUAGGGCUACACGCGGGCUGCAAUGGUAUUGACAAUGUGUUCCGAAUCCGAAAGGAGGAGGCAAUCAUCAGACAAUAUCUCAGUUAUGACUGAGGGCUGUAACUCGCCCUCACGAAUAUGGAACCCCUAGUAACCGCGCGUCACCACCGCGCGGUGAAUACGUCCCUGCUCCUUGCACGAAUUCGCCG